GGUUGUGGCUCAGUGGCAGAGUGCUUGCCGAGCAUGCGUGAGGCCCUGGGUUCGAUCCCUGGCACCA
RNAcentral lists this transfer RNA (67 nucleotides) under Marmota monax (woodchuck). RNAcentral describes it as "tRNA.Ala". The record is from RNAcentral. Lineage: Eukaryota; Metazoa; Chordata; Mammalia; Rodentia; Sciuridae.